GCCUGUUGGGCUCAGUCAGUAGAGCAUGUGACUCUUGAUCUCAAGGUUGUGAGUUCAAGCCCCACGUUGGGUA
Molecule: transfer RNA, 73 nt
Filed under: Ailuropoda melanoleuca (giant panda)
Lineage: Eukaryota; Metazoa; Chordata; Mammalia; Carnivora; Ursidae
Rfam family: tRNA
About the family: Transfer RNA (tRNA) molecules are approximately 80 nucleotides in length. Their secondary structure includes four short double-helical elements and three loops (D, anti-codon, and T loops).
Source: Rfam by way of RNAcentral